ACACUCAUGUUUCUCUUCAGAUCGUAUAAAUCUUUCCGCCUUUUACUAAAGAUUUCCGUGGGGAGGAACACA
RNAcentral lists this small nuclear RNA (72 nucleotides) under Carassius auratus (goldfish). Its description in RNAcentral is "U5 spliceosomal RNA (ENSCARG00000040984.1)". It matches the Rfam family "U5 spliceosomal RNA", at positions 1 to 71 of the family's 117-position model. From Rfam's summary of the family: U5 RNA is a component of both types of known spliceosome. The precise function of this molecule is unknown, though it is known that the 5' loop is required for splice site selection and p220 binding, and that both the 3' stem-loop and the Sm site are important for Sm protein binding and cap methylation. The record is from Rfam by way of RNAcentral. Lineage: Eukaryota; Metazoa; Chordata; Actinopteri; Cypriniformes; Cyprinidae.